UCCUGGCUCAGGACGAACGCUGGCGGCGUGCUUAACACAUGCAAGUCGAACGCUGAAGCUCAGGCUUUUGUUGGGUGGAUGAGUGGCGAACGGGUGAGUAACACGUGAGUAACCUGCCCCCUUCUUUGGGAUAACGCCCGGAAACGGGUGCUAAUACUGGAUAUUCACUGGUCUUCGCAUGGGGGUUGGUGGAAAGGGUUUUUCUGGUGGGGGAUGGGCUCGCGGCCUAUCAGCUUGUUGGUGGGGUGAUGGCCUACCAAGGCUUUGACGGGUAGCCGGCCUGAGAGGGUGACCGGUCACAUUGGGACUGAGAUACGGCCCAGACUCCUACGGGAGGCAGCAGUGGGGAAUAUUGCACAAUGGGCGCAAGCCUGAUGCAGCGACGCCGCGUGAGGGAUGGAGGCCUUCGGGUUGUGAACCUCUUUCGCUCAUGGUCAAGCCGCAACAAUGGUUGUGGUGAGGGUAGUGGGUAAAGAAGCGCCGGCUAACUACGUGCCAGCAGC
This 503-nucleotide ribosomal RNA is filed under the name Actinomyces sp. 11-179. Its description in RNAcentral is "bacterial SSU rRNA". It matches the Rfam family "Bacterial small subunit ribosomal RNA", at positions 17 to 515 of the family's 1533-position model. The record is from RNAcentral. Lineage: Bacteria; Bacillati; Actinomycetota; Actinomycetes; Actinomycetales; Actinomycetaceae.